GCCUACGGGGGGCAGCAGUGGGGGAUAUUGCACAAUGGGGGGAACCCUGAUGCAGCGACGCCGCGUGGGUGAAGAAGCGCCUCGGCGCGUAAAGCCCUGUCAGCAGGGAAGAAAAUGACGGUACCUGAAGAAGAAGCCCCGGCUAAAUACGUGCCAGCAGCCGCGGUAAUACGUAUGGUGCAAGCGUUAUCCGGAUUUACUGGGUGUAAAGGGAGCGCAGGCGGCACGGCAAGCCUGAUGUGAAAGCCCGCGGCCCAACCGCGGGACUGCAUUGGGAACUACCGGGCUGGAGUGCCGGAGAGGUA
This 305-nucleotide ribosomal RNA is filed under the name uncultured bacterium. Its description in RNAcentral is "bacterial SSU rRNA". It matches the Rfam family "Bacterial small subunit ribosomal RNA", at positions 337 to 659 of the family's 1533-position model. The record is from RNAcentral.